Molecule: unclassified non-coding RNA, 351 nt
Filed under: soil metagenome
Description: partial contains 5.8S ribosomal RNA, internal transcribed spacer 2, and large subunit ribosomal RNA
Rfam family: 5.8S ribosomal RNA (bases 1-120)
Source: RNAcentral
GAUGAAGAACGUAGCGAAAUGCGAUAAGUAAUGUGAAUUGCAGAAUUCAGUGAAUCAUCGAAUCUUUGAACGCACAUUGCGCCCGCCAGUAUUCUGGCGGGCAUGCCUGUUCGAGCGUCAUUACAACCCUCAGGCCCCCGGGCCUGGCGUUGGGGAUCGGCGGAAGCCCCCUGCGGGCACAACGCCGUCCCCCAAAUACAGUGGCGGUCCCGCCGCAGCUUCCAUUGCGUAGUAGCUAACACCUCGCAACUGGAGAGCGGCGCGGCCACGCCGUAAAACACCCAACUUCUGAAUGUUGACCUAAUCAGGUAGGAAUACCCGCUGAACUUAAGCAUAUCAAUAAGCGGAGGA